Molecule: long non-coding RNA, 381 nt
Organism: Puntigrus tetrazona (Sumatra barb)
Lineage: Eukaryota; Metazoa; Chordata; Actinopteri; Cypriniformes; Cyprinidae
Exons: 3
Source: RefSeq, a predicted model, not a curated record
UUUCACGGUGUCAAGUUCCUCAGUCGGUAGUAAGCGACGACAGAAGUCUCCGUCUACACGUGGAGGUUAUGAACUCGCCGGCGGCGUACAUCAAGUGAACCCGACACACCUCCACGAACCAGCGCAGAGUCCAGCUCAUACACGACUGAACAAACAGAGGGAAUGGGAUGGAUGGAGAAAGAGAACAUUAUAUUCUAACCUGUUGACAUAAUGGGGCUGUAAAAUGUGCAUGAUUGCCGUCUCCCUCCUCUCGCAAAGCUGUCAGCAAUCUAUCUGCGGUAACAGGGACUCUGAGCUGGUUAAGCUCCUGCUCUUGGUGUUCCAUUCACCUUGAUUCCAUCCAGCGUCCAAUCACAGGAGACUGAGGCGGACCCGACCUAC